Molecule: ribosomal RNA, 483 nt
Filed under: uncultured bacterium
Lineage: Bacteria
Description: bacterial SSU rRNA
Rfam family: Bacterial small subunit ribosomal RNA
Source: RNAcentral
GACGAACGCUGGCGGCGUGCUUAAUACAUGCAAGUCAACUGAACUUAAGGUAGCAAUAUUUUAAGGGAGGUGGCGCACGGGUGAGUAACACGUAGGUAAUCUGCCUUUAGGUCUGACACAACCUACCGAAAGGUAGGCUAAUAUCAGAUGAUGCAGCGGCUCGACAUCGAGACAGUUGUUAAACCUUCGGGGGCCUAAAGAUGAGCCUGCGUCUGAUUAGGUAGUUGGCGGAGUAAUAGCCCACCAAGCCUGCGAUCAGUAGCUGGUCUGAGAGGAUGAUCAGCCACAAUGGGACUGAGACACGGCCCAUACUCCUACGGGAGGCAGCAGUGGGGAAUUUUACGCAAUGGGCGAAAGCCUGACGUAGCGACACCGCGUGAGCGAAGAAGCCCCUUGGGUGUAAAGCUCUGUCAGCUGGAACGAAAAAAUAGACGGUACCAGCAGAGAAGCAUCGGCUAACUACGUGCCAGCAGCCGCGGUAAU